Molecule: unclassified non-coding RNA, 341 nt
Filed under: soil metagenome
Description: partial contains 5.8S ribosomal RNA, internal transcribed spacer 2, and large subunit ribosomal RNA
Rfam family: 5.8S ribosomal RNA (bases 1-120)
Source: RNAcentral
GAUGAAGAACGUAGCGAAAUGCGAUAAGUAAUGUGAAUUGCAGAAUUCAGUGAAUCAUCGAAUCUUUGAACGCACCUUGCGCUCCUUGGUAUUCCGAGGAGCAUGCCUGUUCGAGCGUCAUUUGUACCCUCAAGCUUUGCUUGGUGUUGGGCGUCUUGUCUCUAGCUUUGCUGGAGACUCGCCUUAAAGUAAUUGGCAGCCGGCCUACUGGUUUCGGAGCGCAGCACAAGUCGCACUCUCUAUCAGCAAAGGUCUAGCAUCCAUUAAGCCUUUUUUUCAACUUUUGACCUCGGAUCAGGUAGGGAUACCCGCUGAACUUAAGCAUAUCAAUAAGCGGAGGA